UACAUACGAUGGGGCGAUCGAUAGCGCACAAGACAACUCCCACGUCGAACUGUUUGAAGCCAACGCGUAGCACUUAACUUUCUCGAUAAGGGAAAUUUUCCUAACCCCCGUUCCCUGGCAGAAGUAUCCCUUUUGUUUAUGAGUUCUCCCUAGACUCAAAGUGGUGUGACAUUUACGGGUGCCUGCUUUGAAGAGAGGCCAACUGCUCUCCGUGCUGUAAAAGAGCCACCUGCCUCCCCUCACCUGCCCUUCUGUGAGAGCUUAGAGAAUAAAAACGCCAGAGUUGCAGUGACAGCUAGACCCUGCCUAGUAGCUACUGUACAGCGCAGCAAACCCCCACCCCCAAUUUUGGCUCUUGCAGGAGACAGAAAAGAAGAUAUAAAGAAGGAGAGCUGUUUUCUUUUCAGUAUCUCCCCUCGGCUAAGUCUGGGGCCUUGGAUGUCUGGAAAAUUUGAAAAAAUAAAAUUGCACAACUGCAGAUUACCAGGAGCACUAAGGUCACUGUCAAGCUCUUCAAGGAAUGGCCGAAAUCACCCCUCCUCUCUCCAGUCGCCACAAUCAAAUUUACUCUGGCUUGAGUACACGUUUAGUGGGGACCAUUUGUUUGAGGCAAACACUUAGGGCCCUCGUAUGUCAUUGACCAGUGUCCACAAAUAUAAUCCUAUCAAGUUCAAUCUUAGGAUGUCCUGCGCC
Molecule: long non-coding RNA, 693 nt
Organism: Oreochromis aureus
Lineage: Eukaryota; Metazoa; Chordata; Actinopteri; Cichliformes; Cichlidae
Source: Ensembl